This 614-nucleotide ribosomal RNA is filed under the name Candidatus Phytoplasma trifolii. RNAcentral's name for it is "bacterial SSU rRNA". It matches the Rfam family "Bacterial small subunit ribosomal RNA", at positions 181 to 784 of the family's 1533-position model. Lineage: Bacteria; Bacillati; Mycoplasmatota; Mollicutes; Acholeplasmatales; Acholeplasmataceae. The record is from RNAcentral.
AAAAAAGCAUCUUUUUGUUUUUAAAAGACCUUCUUAUGAAGGUAUGCUUAAAGAGGGGCUUGCGCCACAUUAGUUAGUUGGUAGGGUAAAAGCCUACCAAGACGAUGAUGUGUAGCUGGACUGAGAGGUUGAACAGCCACAUUGGGACUGAGACACGGCCCAAACUCCUACGGGAGGCAGCAGUAGGGAAUUUUCGGCAAUGGAGGAAACUCUGACCGAGCAACGCCGCGUGAACGAUGAAGUAUUUCGGUAUGUAAAGUUCUUUUAUUGAAGAAGAAAAAGUAGUGGAAAAACUAUAUUGACGUUAUUCAAUGAAUAAGCCCCGGCUAACUAUGUGCCAGCAGCCGCGGUAAGACAUAGGGGGCGAGCGUUAUCCGGAAUUAUUGGGCGUAAAGGGUGCGUAGGCUGUUAGAUAAGUCUAUAAUUUAAUUUCAGUGCUUAACGCUGUCUUGUUAUAGAAACUGUCUUGACUAGAGUGAGAUAGAGGCAAGCGGAAUUCCAUGUGUAGCGGUAAAAUGUGUAAAUAUAUGGAGGAACACCAGAAGCGUAGGCGGCUUGCUGGGUCUUUACUGACGCUGAGGCACGAAAGCGUGGGUAGCAAACAGGAUUACAUU